GGGCGGCUGGUGUAGUUGGUUAUCACAUCUCGUUAGCAAAGUUAUUCUUUCAAUCGAGAAGGGGUUAGGUUCAAUUCCUAGGCUGUCUA
Non-coding RNA from Chaetomium sp. MPI-CAGE-AT-0009, 89 nucleotides. The record is from the annotation of a GenBank genome assembly. Lineage: Eukaryota; Fungi; Ascomycota; Sordariomycetes; Sordariales; Chaetomiaceae.